UUAACACAUGCAAGUCGAACGCAACCUUCGGGUUGAGUGGCGGACGGGUGAGUAACGCGUGAGAAUCUGCCUUGGGGUCGGGGACAACCACUGGAAACGGUGGCUAAUACCGGAUAAGCCUUUGGGUAAAAAAUUUAUUGCCCCAAGAGGAGCUCGCGUCUGAUUAGCUAGUUGGUGAGGUAAAAGCUCACCAAGGCAGCGAUCAGUAGCUGGUCUGAGAGGACGAUCAGCCACACUGGGACUGAGACACGGCCCAGACUCCUACGGGAGGCAGCAGUGGGGAAUUUUCCGCAAUGGGCGAAAGCCUGACGGAGCAAGACCGCGUGAGGGAGGAAGGCUCUUGGGUUGUAAACCUCUUUUCUCAGGGAAGAAGCUCUGACGGUACCUGAGGAAUCAGCCUCGGCUAACUCCGUGCCAGCAGCCGCGGUAAUACGGAGGAGGCAAGCGUUAUCCGGAAUUAUUGGGCGUAAAGCGUCCGCAGGUGGCGAUUCAAGUCUGCUGUCAAAGCACGGGGCUUAACUCCGUUAAGGGAGUGGAAACUGAAUAGCUAGAGUGCCGUAGGGGUAGAGGGAAUUCCCGGUGUAGCGGUGAAAUGCGUAGAGAUCGGGAAGAACAUCGGUGGCGAAAGCGCUCUACUGGACGGCAACUGACACUCAGGGACGAAAGCUAGGGGAGCGAAUGGGAUUAGAUACCCCAGUAGUCCUAGCUGUAAACGAUGGAUAACUAGGUGUAGCUUGUAUCGACCCGAGC
Molecule: ribosomal RNA, 750 nt
Filed under: uncultured organism
Description: bacterial SSU rRNA
Rfam family: Bacterial small subunit ribosomal RNA
Source: RNAcentral